CCGACCUUAGCUCAGUUGGUAGAGCGGAGGACUGUAGAUCCUUUGGUCGAUUGUUCGAAUCCGGCAGGUCGGA
RNAcentral lists this transfer RNA (73 nucleotides) under Salvia splendens (bonfire salvia). RNAcentral's name for it is "tRNA-Tyr". It matches the Rfam family "tRNA". Rfam says of the family: Transfer RNA (tRNA) molecules are approximately 80 nucleotides in length. The record is from RNAcentral. Lineage: Eukaryota; Viridiplantae; Streptophyta; Magnoliopsida; Lamiales; Lamiaceae.